UACGGGGGGGGCAAGCGUUGUUCGGAAUUACUGGGCGUAAAGGGCUUGUAGGUGGCCAACUAAGUCAGACGUGAAAUCCCUCGGCUUAACCGGGGAACUGCGUCUGAUACUGGAUGGCUAGAGUGUGGGAGAGGGAUGCGGAAUUCCAGGUGUAGCGGUGAAAUGCGCAGAUAUCAGGAAGAACACCAAUGGCGAAAGCAGCUUUCUGGGACGGUACUGACGCUGAGACGCGAAAGCGUGGGGAGCGAACAGG
This 253-nucleotide ribosomal RNA is filed under the name uncultured bacterium. RNAcentral describes it as "partial 16S ribosomal RNA". It matches the Rfam family "Bacterial small subunit ribosomal RNA", at positions 524 to 776 of the family's 1533-position model. The record is from RNAcentral.